GUAGGGUGCGAGCGUUAAUCGGAAUUACUGGGCGUAAAGCGUGCGCAGGCGGUUCGUUAAGUUCGAUGUGAAAGCCCCGGGCUCAACCUGGGAACUGCAUUGGAAACUGGCGAGCUUGAGUAUGGCAGAGGGGGGUGGAAUUCCGCGUGUAGCAGUGAAAUGCGUAGAGAUGCGGAGGAACACCGAUGGCGAAGGCAGCCCCCUGGGCCAAUACUGACGCUCAGGCACGAAAGCGUGGGGAGCAAACAGGAUUAGAUACCCUGGUAGUCCACGCCCUAAACGAUGCUCACUAGGUGUUGGGGAAGCGAUUCCUUGGUACCGUAGCUAACGCGUGAAGUGAGCCGCCUGGGGAGUACGGCCGCAAGGUUA
RNAcentral lists this ribosomal RNA (369 nucleotides) under uncultured bacterium. RNAcentral describes it as "bacterial SSU rRNA". It matches the Rfam family "Bacterial small subunit ribosomal RNA", at positions 527 to 896 of the family's 1533-position model. The record is from RNAcentral.